AUUAACGCUGGCGGCAUGCCUAACACAUGCAAGUCGCACGAGAAAGCCCGGUUCGCCGGGCGAGUAAAGUGGCGCACGGGUGAGUAACGCGUGGAUAAUCUACCUCUUUCUGGGGGAUAACGCACCGAAAGGUGCGCUAAUACCGCAUAAUCCGGCAGACCUUCGGGUUGGUCGGCAAAGGUGGCCUCUUGAUCAAAGCUACCGAGAAGAGAUGAGUCCGCGUCCCAUUAGCUUGUUGGUAGGGUAACGGCCUACCAAGGCGACGAUGGGUAGCUGGUCUGAGAGGACGAUCAGCCACACUGGAACUGGUACACGGUCCAGACUCCUACGGGAGGCAGCAGUGAGGAAUAUUGCGCAAUGGGGGAAACCCUGACGCAGCGAUGCCGCGUGAGUGAAGAAGGCCUUCGGGUCGUAAAGCUCUGUCAAGUGGGAAGAACAGUCUUAGGGACAAUACCCUUAGGGCCUGACGGUACCACUGAAGGAAGCACCGGCUAACUCCGUGCCAGCAGCCGCGGUAAGACGGAGGGUGCGAGCGUUAUUCGGAUUUAUUGGGCGUAAAGAGAGUGUAGGCGGCCGGCCAAGUCAGAU
Molecule: ribosomal RNA, 588 nt
Filed under: uncultured Desulfobacca sp.
Lineage: Bacteria; Pseudomonadati; Thermodesulfobacteriota; Desulfobaccia; Desulfobaccales; Desulfobaccaceae
Description: bacterial SSU rRNA
Rfam family: Bacterial small subunit ribosomal RNA
Source: RNAcentral